RNAcentral lists this ribosomal RNA (274 nucleotides) under uncultured bacterium. RNAcentral describes it as "partial 16S ribosomal RNA". It matches the Rfam family "Bacterial small subunit ribosomal RNA", at positions 523 to 796 of the family's 1533-position model. The record is from RNAcentral.
AUACGGAGGGUGCAAGCGUUAAUCGGAAUUACUGGGCGUAAAGCGCUCGUAGGCGGCUUGUUAAGUCGGAUGUGAAAGCCCCGGGCUCAACCUGGGAACUGCAUUCGAUACUGGCAGGCUAGAGUAUAGUAGAGGCAAGUGGAAUUCCGGGUGUAGCGGUGAAAUGCGUAGAUAUCCGGAGGAACAUCAGUGGCGAAGACGACUUGCUGGACUAAUACUGACGCUGAGGAGCGAAAGCGUGGGGAGCAAACGGGAUUAGAAACCCCAGUAGUCC